AACGGCCGCGGUAUCCUAACCGUGCAAAGGUAGCAUAAUCACUUGUCCCCUAAAUAGGGACCACAAUGAACGGCUAAAUGAGGACUAAACUGUCUCUUACAGAUUGGCCAAUGAAAUUGAUUUCCCAGUACAAAAGCUGGAAUAUACCCAUAAGACGAGAAGACCCUGUGGAGCUUCAAAACCAAACCACUUAGUAUGUCCCUUGGUUUUUUAGUUGGGGCGACUUCGGAAUACAACAAAACUUCCAAAAAAACUAACUCAUUAAGGUUAACACACCAAAAUCUCCACACAGACCCAGCAAUUAAUUUGUCUGACCAAUGAACCAAGUUACCCCAGGGAUAACAGCGCAAUCUCCUUUUAGAGUCCAUAUCGACAAGGGGGUUUACGACCUCGAUGUUGGAUCAGGACACCCCA
RNAcentral lists this ribosomal RNA (414 nucleotides) under Lacerta trilineata polylepidota. RNAcentral describes it as "partial 16S ribosomal RNA". It matches the Rfam family "Bacterial large subunit ribosomal RNA", at positions 1926 to 2549 of the family's 2925-position model. Lineage: Eukaryota; Metazoa; Chordata; Lepidosauria; Squamata; Lacertidae. The record is from RNAcentral.